GCCGGCGUGGCGGAAUGGCAGACGCAGUAGACUCAAAAUCUACCGUACGCAAGUAUGUGUGAGUUCAAGUCUCACCGCCGGCA
This 83-nucleotide transfer RNA is filed under the name Treponema sp. RNAcentral's name for it is "tRNA-Leu". It matches the Rfam family "tRNA". Rfam says of the family: Transfer RNA (tRNA) molecules are approximately 80 nucleotides in length. Their secondary structure includes four short double-helical elements and three loops (D, anti-codon, and T loops). Further hydrogen bonds mediate the characteristic L-shaped molecular structure. tRNAs have two regions of fundamental functional importance: the anti-codon, which is responsible for specific mRNA codon recognition, and the 3' end, to which the tRNAs corresponding amino acid is attached (by aminoacyl-tRNA synthetases). tRNAs cope with the degeneracy of the genetic code in two manners: having more than one tRNA (with a specific anti-codon) for a particular amino acid; and 'wobble' base-pairing, i.e. permitting non-standard base-pairing at the 3rd anti-codon position. Lineage: Bacteria; Pseudomonadati; Spirochaetota; Spirochaetia; Treponematales; Treponemataceae. The record is from RNAcentral.